This is a long non-coding RNA of Drosophila sechellia, 1631 nucleotides long. RefSeq lists it as uncharacterized. The record is from RefSeq and is a predicted model, not a curated record. The transcript is spliced from 4 exons. NCBI's taxonomy places the organism in Eukaryota, Metazoa, Arthropoda, Insecta, Diptera, Drosophilidae.
CUUACUACAGCAUUACCCCUUGUGUGCAAACAAACUGGAGGUGGCAUUCAUCGCCCUAUCCCAUAGCUCCCGUUCCCGUAUCAUAACACCGCUAAAAAUAAACAAAUCGUGACAAAUUGCUGUAAGUGCAGCCGACGCUAUCUGCCCCGCAGAAGACAAUGGCAUCCACCUAUCGGUUUCCCCGCCCUCUCCAACUGCCAAUCGGAUUGGAGUAUGACUGAGUCACAUCAUUUCCAUGAGCCGCAACCUCUCGACGACCUACAUCCCAGUUGGCACCGCAAGUUACACAUUCAACGCCGGGCACCGAAGUUAGCACUUCCAAAGGCAGUCGUGUGCUUAUAUUGACCAGUGGUCGUCCAUUUCAAUUAUGAUGUCACUGUCGCCAAGUCAAUGAACGUCUUCCGACACCUUAAACAGACAACAUACAUCAACAAAUACAGCGGCUAGUCAUCCCCGACCGCUGCCUCCAUAUGGCAAACGGCGUCGUGAUUUGUACAAAAUACAGCGGAAGGGAAAAACGAGCGAAAAAAUAAGCCGGCCAUAACUGUAGACGCCAGGGGACAGAACCAAUCGGGCGUCAGAAAAUUGGAACACCAAAGAGCCGUUCAUGCCAUCUCAUCUCCUCCAGCGCGCCACAUCCCACUCCAGAUGUGCCCACUGCUCGGCGAUAAGGCAGCAGUGUCGAGUAUCGGAUUCGAAUCAUAAAAACGUAAACGACAAAAUCGAAACGCACGGCAAACAAACAAUACAAUAGAAACUGGUGUGAGAUAAAGCCCGAGCCAGUAUGAAAGAAAACGCAACAACAACAAUAGUAAUAAUAAUAAAUGGAAAUUAAAAAUUGAUUGCUUCUUUGGCCGGCGCUUCUUGGCAUCCGCCUCGGUACAGUGGUUGUGCAUUGAUUGAAAAGCGAAGGCUCGGUUUUGCUUGGUAGCUUUAUGGCAUUUGUGGCAUUCUGGGAAGGGCCUAUCCUAUCGUCCGCUUUCAUUCUGGGAAUGCUUUCUCACGUUGUUUACUUUUCAACGAAUCGCACACAAGAAAUCAAACCACAGUGCACUCUGGAUAAGAGGGAUUCAGUUCACCAAUACCGCCAACGACCGACAGUCGUUGUUAUUGUUCGUUAAUCAGAGACAACCUCGCGAUUGGAUUUCGUUGGGAAAAGGCGAAUCACUUGACCAGCUGAGUUUGGCCAAAACGGAAAUCCAACAUUAUUCACUCUCUCUAUCUGGCCUGUUCACCGAUUCACCCACCGAGUAUACACGUAACGCCGAAUCCCCGCUAGAUUUAUGAUCACCACUCACCUCAUGGCUGCGCUUCAGCGAGGUGUACUCCUGCAGGGUGCGCGACACGUUGCGCUUGAGCGUGGAGAUCUCCUGUAUCUCCUUGUCCAAAAUGUUUUUCAGCCGCCGCACCACCUUGGCCUCGGUCUCCAGCUCGCUCUCGAUAAUGCACUCUGCCAUCGUCUUCUCCAGCUCGCCUGCAAUGGAGAAGCACACACUGACAUAAGUACUGGGUAUAUGAAGCUGCAAAGCCUACACCACACUGACCAUCAUCUUAGUAGCAUGCUAAAUAUAGUAGAUAAAAAGAUAAGUCUCUAUUCUUUACAUAAAGUGGUAAUACCAGUUUCUUUGUCA